AGGACGAACGCUGGCGGCGCGCCUAACACAUGCAAGUCGAGCGAGAACCAGGGCUUGCCCUGGGGACAGCGGCGAACGGGUGCGUAACACGUGAGCAACCUGCCCCAAAGACCGGGACAACCCGAGGAAACUCGGACUAAUACCGGAUGCCCUCACCGGGUCGCAUGGUCUGGUGAGGAAAUGGAUUCCGCUUUGGGAUGGGCUCGCGGUCUAUCAGCUUGUUGGUGGGGUAACGGCCUACCAAGGCGACGACGGAUAGCUGGUCUGAGAGGACGAUCAGCCACACUGGGACUGAGACACGGCCCAGACUCCUACGGGAGGCAGCAGUGGGGAAUCUUGCGCAAUGGGGGAAACCCUGACGCAGCGACGCCGCGUGCGGGAUGAAGGCUUCGGUUGUAACCGCUUCAGCAGGACGAAUUGACGGUACCUGCAGAAGAAGGCCCGGCCAACUACGUGCCAGCAGCCGC
Molecule: ribosomal RNA, 467 nt
Filed under: uncultured bacterium
Lineage: Bacteria
Description: SSU rRNA
Rfam family: Bacterial small subunit ribosomal RNA
Source: RNAcentral